GAGGGGUGCUAGCGUUAUUCGGAAUUACUGGGGCGUAAAGGGGCGUGUAGGCGGCAUGCUAAGUCAGUUGUUAAAUUCCCCCGGGCCUAAACCGGGGGGGCUCUGCAAUUGAUACUGGCAAGCUAGAGUACAGGAGAGAGAGGUGGAAUUAUCGGAGUAGCGGUAAAAUGCGUAGAUCUCGAUAGGAACACCGAUGGCGAAGGCAGCCUCUUGGCCUGUGUCUGACGCUGAAGCGCGAAAGCGUGGGGAGCAAACAGGAUUAGAUACCCUGGUAGUCCACGCUGUAAACGAUGAUCACUAGAUGUGGCUUGAGCUUGCUCGGGCUGUGUCGUAGCUAACGCGUUAAGUGAUCCGCCUGGGAACUACGGUCGCAAGACUA
This 379-nucleotide ribosomal RNA is filed under the name uncultured organism. RNAcentral describes it as "partial 16S ribosomal RNA". It matches the Rfam family "Bacterial small subunit ribosomal RNA", at positions 527 to 896 of the family's 1533-position model. The record is from RNAcentral.